RNAcentral lists this transfer RNA (72 nucleotides) under Camelus bactrianus (Bactrian camel). It matches the Rfam family "tRNA". Rfam says of the family: Transfer RNA (tRNA) molecules are approximately 80 nucleotides in length. Their secondary structure includes four short double-helical elements and three loops (D, anti-codon, and T loops). Further hydrogen bonds mediate the characteristic L-shaped molecular structure. tRNAs have two regions of fundamental functional importance: the anti-codon, which is responsible for specific mRNA codon recognition, and the 3' end, to which the tRNAs corresponding amino acid is attached (by aminoacyl-tRNA synthetases). tRNAs cope with the degeneracy of the genetic code in two manners: having more than one tRNA (with a specific anti-codon) for a particular amino acid; and 'wobble' base-pairing, i.e. permitting non-standard base-pairing at the 3rd anti-codon position. Lineage: Eukaryota; Metazoa; Chordata; Mammalia; Artiodactyla; Camelidae. The record is from Rfam by way of RNAcentral. RNAcentral also lists the same sequence under 2 other names.
GAGGGUAUAGCUCAGUAGUAGAGUGCAUGCCUUGCGUGUUUGAAGUCCUGGAUUCAAUCCCCAGUACCUCCA